GAGAGAUGGACUGGCAAAACUCCGCUAGCCCUUGGCCGCCUCCAAUUUCCCUUUCCCUCUCUCCAAUCUCCACCGCCGCCGCCGCCGCCUCCUCUCGGUUUCUCAUGCUGCCGCUCCGACGAAGAGCGCGCCGCUGGUGCUUAGAUUCUGGGGACAUCUCAUGGUCUUCGUUGACGGAAGGAGGGGAAGAGCAGCCGCGCCAGGCGGCAUGCCUCGCCGUGCCGCGUGGCAGCCGCUGCCCCAUGCUUUGCCGGUGCCGUCUCAUCGUCUGCAUAGACAUGCGCAUCUCUGUCAGGACCGCGCGUCCAUGCCUCCCAUCUACCGGGCUGGAGUGGCCGCCUCCUGGUUGAGGCAUCGAACGUCCUCGGCUGCUGCCGCUGCUGCUGGCCGGGUCCCUCCUCUCGCUCCUGCCGAGGCUGAGGUGAGCACCAUGAAGACGAUGUCAGUGGAUGAUAUAGAGAGCUCCUCGAACAAGUAGCAGUUCUGGAGGAACUUGAAGAUGUCAUGUUUCAGUUUUGAUGUGAAUCGCUACAACAACAAUUAGAGGAGACCGUGCAUUGCAGGUUCAGAACCAAUUUAUAUGGAUGAUUGACAUAUGGAUCUUAGCGAGAUUCAAGGGAACGCGUGAUGUGACUGUGCCUUGUAUAAGCAAAGCUGAGCUGUUGAGACUAUUCUAUCCUGAAGUAUUGGUUUAUUACCGAGGAAGCCUUAAACAGAGAAGCUGAAUGCAGUUUUUGUAUCUUUCGUCAAAGUCCUGAACGGUCCAAUGAAAAUCUUGGUAUGCACAGCUUCAGAGCUUCAUCACAUUAUAGUAGGGGAAAAUGGUAUGCAGAAUGUCAAAAGCUUCAUUUUGGUCCAUUAGAUAGUUUAUAGCUUUGUCACUGGAGCUGUGACAAAAUAAUCGCAGCUUGUGAAAAUUAUAUACAACCAUGAAUGCUCCAUAGUUUUCCAUGCAACACAGCUACUGAAUCUGCAAGACAUGCUUAUUUCUGGCAGAAUCUUAGUGGAUAAAUUAGCAUUGUGUAAGAUCUGCCAUGAUAGUUUUCUCAAUACCAUUUUGCAUUUUGGGACUGUUUGAGCACUAAAGAAUGUUAACAGGUUUACCAUUUCUCAUCUCUUUGUGAUAUCCGUAGGUAUUCUGGUGUCUCAGUUAGUCCCCAGCCUCUUUCACUGACCCAUAAAUUAUCUGUCUCUAGGUCUCCUCAAUUGUAUUCUGGUUUAGAACAACAAAACUAUUUUUGCCUCAGCUACUUUGUCGGUGUCGUGUACAUUGUCAUGGAUUUGAUGUCAUGUAGUUCCAGGUGUUUUAUUAUACUUCCAGUCUCAGUAUAUGACGGCAUGAUAUGAUGAUAUUACCCUAAACCUGCUCUCCCGCUCAUUCAAAUCAGGAUGUCGGCGGACGCGUCUGCUGCGUGUCCCCAUCCGUCCGCAACGUCUGCAACUGUAAUCAAGUGUUCUGACUGCUCGCUAUGCCCGGCGGGCACAUGCGGACGUCCGCAUCUGCCUUGCAAACUCUGUAUACAUCAAGCAUAAUGCAAUCCAUGCUAGAAAAUUACCAAAGAAACAUCUUUAGUUGCAAAUGAGGCCCAACAUCAUGUAGACAUAAGUUGAAUCUCAUGUAAAAGCGUACACACGCUCAACCUCAUGUACAGCAGUAAUUUAAGAGUUAGCUCCACCUGUUAUAAUAGUUUUUUGACCAAUCUGACUUUGGAAUAUCAAGACGAAUUGCUCCCAACAAAUUUGUGUUAAGCUGACUUCUGUAAAAAAAAGUCUAUGCUCAGUUGCAUGAGUUAAUCCAGUUUUAGGACUAAACAAUAGAUUAAUACACACAUAUUUCACUGUGGUCUGUGGCAAUUUUGCGGCAGGUACAAUGCUAAAAAAAAUCAAUUUUUGUUCAAUUUUAUGGUCAAGAUCUUAGGUUGAUGAUAACUUGAUAUGUGGUUCUCCUGUAGCAUUAGUUAUAUUUUGGAUUAUCUUACCCAAAACUAACUACAUGAAAAAUGACUACUUUAUUUUAUACCAUGUUAACUUAGGCCUGAAAUAUGGAAGUUACUUAUCAUACAAGAAGAGGCAAAAUAACAUUUGUACCAUAUUUGGUUCAAGUCUACCAGGUAAAUAAUUUCAAAUGAUCAGAUUGAGUUGUUUUAGAAAUGAAAAACGGAACUUGUCCUUGUUUAUCUUCCCUUUUUGUGUUAAAAUAAGAAGAAUGAUACACCACACACUGCCCUUUGGUUAUUUUUGCCCUUGUAUAUUGCAUGCUUCUUCGCCUAUGACCGGCAGAACACAAUGUAUAGGAUGUUUGUACAAAGAGCUACAAGGAGAGCACUCUUCAACGAUGGCAAUAUCCAAUGAAGCUGCAAAUUGUUGGGUGUAUGUAUAUGUGUACCGAAGUUGAGUUGAAUCCCUAAGGAAGAACCAAACAUUUAUUUCUAUCUUAUUAUAUGCUAUCUUAAAUGCAAAAGUGUGAGCUAUGUUAACAACUGUUUCAGUAUGAUGUUUGGAAAUGUUAAUGAUUGCAGUUUUUGCACGCUCAA
Triticum dicoccoides is the source of this 2534-nucleotide long non-coding RNA. RefSeq lists it as uncharacterized. NCBI's taxonomy places the organism in Eukaryota, Viridiplantae, Streptophyta, Magnoliopsida, Poales, Poaceae. The transcript has 5 exons. The record is from RefSeq and is a predicted model, not a curated record.